UAGGGAAUCUUCGGCAAUGGGGGGAACCCUGACCGAGCAACGCCGCGUGAGUGAAGAAGGUUUUCGGAUCGUAAAGCUCUGUUGUUAAGGAAGAACGAGUGUGAGAAUGGAAAGUUCAUGCUGUGACGGUACUUAACCAGAAAGGGACGGCUAACUACGUGCCAGCAGCCGCGGUAAUACGUAGGUCCCGAGCGUUGUCCGGAUUUAUUGGGCGUAAAGCGAGCGCAGGCGGUUAGAAAAGUCUGAAGUGAAAGGCAGUGGCUCAACCAUUGUAGGCUUUGGAAACUGUUUAACUUGAGUGCAGAAGGGGAGAGUGGAAUUCCAUGUGUAGCGGUGAAAUGCGUAGAUAUAUGGAGGAACACCGGUGGCGAAAGCGGCUCUCUGGUCUGUAACUGACGCUGAGGCUCGAAAGCGGGGGGAGCGAACAGG
Molecule: ribosomal RNA, 429 nt
Filed under: Bacteroidota bacterium
Lineage: Bacteria; Pseudomonadati; Bacteroidota
Also listed under: 1 other name
Description: Bacteroidetes bacterium partial 16S ribosomal RNA
Rfam family: Bacterial small subunit ribosomal RNA
Source: RNAcentral